RNAcentral lists this transfer RNA (77 nucleotides) under Cryptobacterium sp. CAG:338. RNAcentral describes it as "transfer RNA-Arg(TCT)". It matches the Rfam family "tRNA". From Rfam's summary of the family: Transfer RNA (tRNA) molecules are approximately 80 nucleotides in length. Their secondary structure includes four short double-helical elements and three loops (D, anti-codon, and T loops). The record is from RNAcentral. Lineage: Bacteria; Bacillati; Actinomycetota; Coriobacteriia; Eggerthellales; Eggerthellaceae. RNAcentral also lists the same sequence under 6 other names.
GCGCCCAUAGCUCAGCUGGAUAGAGCAGUGGACUUCUAAUCCAAAGGUCGUAGGUUCGAAUCCUACUGGGCGCGCCA